Sarcophilus harrisii (Tasmanian devil) is the source of this 625-nucleotide long non-coding RNA. RefSeq lists it as uncharacterized. The transcript is spliced from 4 exons. Lineage: Eukaryota; Metazoa; Chordata; Mammalia; Dasyuromorphia; Dasyuridae. The record is from RefSeq and is a predicted model, not a curated record.
GGGGAAAAGAAAGCCCAACAACAAAGAGCCUUGUAGGAAGCCCAUAUUUAGCAGACAUGAUCUGGAAGAAGAUCCAUCAAUGAAGACUGAGAAGAGGCGGUCGGAGAGGACCUUCCUCUUUAAUUUCCAAAUAGAGUGGCACCCCAUAAAACCUGAUAUGGUUCCAUGCAAUUGGUAUAAUGCCAUCCGCAAAUUGUAUCAUCUUUAGAAAAGACCUUAUACAGGACACUUUUUUGAACAACAGAUGAUAUUUUGAUGAGGAAACUGAGGUAAAGAGGUCAAGAGUCUUGCCCAAGAACACAUAAGGAGAGGCAAAAUUAGAAUUUGUACCUAGAAUACAUUUGAACUCAGCCCCAUGACUCCAAAUUCAGCUUUUGUGAGAUUUUUCUAUUACCAAUAUCUUUCUCAUGAUUCCUAAUAUGUCCAUCAAUCUUGAAAUCCCAUGAUCUCAGAAGAAUUAAAGUUAUGAGUAAUUCAAAGGGCCCUAUUGUGAAUGUGAGUAAUGUUUUUCAAGCUAGGUAUCCCUUAUAAGGCUUUAGUUGAGGAUUUAUGUAACUAGAAAAGUAGAUGAGUAGGUCAUGUUUUUUGUUGUUCAAUCAUGUCCAGAUCUUUGCGAUCUCAUUUG